UGACACUGAACACUGGUCCUUGAUGUGUAGGAUAGGUGGGAGGCUUUGAAGCGUGGACGCCAGUCUGCGUGGAGCCGACCUUGAAAUACCACCCUUUAAUGGCUGGUGUUCUAACGUAGACCCGUAAUCCGGGUUGCGGACAGUGUCUGGUGGGCGG
RNAcentral lists this ribosomal RNA (157 nucleotides) under Enterobacter hormaechei subsp. steigerwaltii. Its description in RNAcentral is "partial 23S ribosomal RNA". It matches the Rfam family "Bacterial large subunit ribosomal RNA", at positions 2112 to 2268 of the family's 2925-position model. Lineage: Bacteria; Pseudomonadati; Pseudomonadota; Gammaproteobacteria; Enterobacterales; Enterobacteriaceae. The record is from RNAcentral.